This 433-nucleotide ribosomal RNA is filed under the name uncultured bacterium. Its description in RNAcentral is "partial 16S ribosomal RNA". It matches the Rfam family "Bacterial small subunit ribosomal RNA", at positions 29 to 507 of the family's 1533-position model. The record is from RNAcentral.
AACGAACGCUGGCGGCAUGCCUAACACAUGCAAGUCGAACGAGACCUUCGGGUCUAGUGGCGCACGGGUGCGUAACGCGUGGGAACCUGCCCUUAGGUUCGGAAUAACUCCCCGAAAGGGGUGCUAAUACCGGAUAAUGUCUUCGGACCAAAGAUUUAUCGCCUUUGGAUGGGCCCGCGUUGGAUUAGCUAGUUGGUAGGGUAAAAGCCUACCAAGGCGACGAUCCAUAGCUGGUCUGAGAGGAUGAUCAGCCACACUGGGACUGAGACACGGCCCAGACUCCUACGGGAGGCAGCGGUGGGGAAUAUUGGACAAUGGGCGAAAGCCUGAUACAGCAAUGCCGCGUGAGUGAUGAAGGCCUUAGGGUUGUAAAGCUCUUUUAACCGGGAUGAUAAUGACAGUACCGGGAGAAUAAGCCCCGGCUAACUCCGUG